RNAcentral lists this long non-coding RNA (1556 nucleotides) under Androctonus crassicauda. The record is from RNAcentral. Lineage: Eukaryota; Metazoa; Arthropoda; Arachnida; Scorpiones; Buthidae.
AUAGGAGAUUUUAAAUGAAUACAAAAAAAUGCACUUUUUUUUUUUUUUUCGUUUUUUAAAGAAGAAGAGGGAGAAAAAAAAAACGUUAUUAAAAUACGACGAGGAUGCCAUUUUGAAGUAGCUAAAAAAAAACUUGUAAAGGGAAAAAAGUAGCCUCCGGGCUCGGAGUUUUUUGAUUAGCUAAGACGUCUCUCAGUUUACAGAGCUGGCAGAAUGUAAUUUCUUUUUUUUCUCUCUCUCUCUCUCUCUCUCUCGCUAGCUUCCUGGGCUUCUCUCUCCCUCUGUCUACCAACUCGCACGGCUUAGCACUAAUAGGCAAGACGGUGGGAAGAGAGUAGAGUCGAGUCUUAUUGAUUUGCCUGCACCAACAGACUAUCCAGAUGGAAGGCUCUGGCUGCCGUGAUUAAUUUUCCCCAGAGCGGUAUUGCUAAACACUACUUAAGUGUGCUUCGUUGGAUAGUAAUAAACUACCUUGAGCGAGUAAGGCGCUUUGUUGUCCUUCGCCUACGUGUCUCUUCUAUAAUGAAGGGAUACUUAACGUAAUCCAAACGGUCACUUCCUACUGAUAACUCGACGCUCGAUGGCGACAAAAUUCCUCAACCACUUCAGCACGGUGCACAAUUUCCUUUGUCUAGAGUCGCUUACCUACUUUAAAAUGCGCCCCCGUCUUUUAUUACACCGCACAUUCCUAUCGAACGGGAACGGUGGCUUACAGCGCCCCCGUAUCGUUCUGGAGGCUUUUCCCCUAAAAUUCACCAAAAUUUUUAACGUUUCUCUCUCUGUCUCUACUUUCCCCGCAUUUAAUUGCUGCUGCAGCUAGGUAACAACUGCGUGUAGCAUUUCCGCCCGAUUAACCGCUUCCGAAACUCUCAAAAAAAAUUAUUUUCUAUCCUACAAGUGUCUCUCCCCCUAACUAUUAAAGAAAAGUCGCGAUUUUUUUUUACUACUAUAUAUAGUUUUUUUUUUUUAUCUUCUUAACCCGUCCUAUUCCGAUUUUGAUUGUACAAGGUGGAAGCAACCAUGCAAGGGGAAAAUUCCUCAGGCAUUAAAGGUACUGUUUAGUCAAGCGUGCUUUACUCUUACGGAGAAUUCGUUCCCGAAAAUAAUUCAGUUUCUUUUUUUUUUUUUAUCGUGUAAGGAGUGUGUGUGAGCGCUGCACUGUCGAUCGCAUAUAUAAGACGCAGUUUAAGCCAGAGUAUAAAAGUGGAAAGAGGUGACUUAAGGAUAGAAAGCACAAUUCAGAUGUUGAUUAUCGGAUAGGGGAACAAGAGGGGAUUUUAAAAUUCUGUUUGGUCUGACUAACGAAUUAGACAUUUUAUUUCUUAUUUCCACAAGAAGAAAAAGUUGCAAACUUGAUUGUCAUCGAUUUUUUUUUAAUUCAAUUUCCGUAGUACUACUACUACUACUACUGCUGCUACUAACUACGAUUUCCUACUAACCUUAAAAAGUCGUCUCUUGACAUCUUAACCGGCAUGGCGCAACCACGGAUUAAUUAUUAAAAAAAAAAAAAAAAAACAAAAGACGCCAUUUUUUCGAAUUUGGCUCCGAUAUUAAAC